RNAcentral lists this ribosomal RNA (253 nucleotides) under uncultured bacterium. Its description in RNAcentral is "partial 16S ribosomal RNA". It matches the Rfam family "Bacterial small subunit ribosomal RNA", at positions 524 to 776 of the family's 1533-position model. The record is from RNAcentral.
UACGGAGAGUGCAAGCAUUAAUCGGAAUUACUGGGCGUAAAGCGUGCGCAGGCGGUUCGUUGUGUCCGUCGUGAAAGCCCCGGGCUUAACCUGGGAACUGCGAUGGAAACUAGCGAGCUGGAGUGUGGCAGAGGGGGGUGGAAUUCCGCGUGUAGCAGUGAAAUGCGUAGAGAUGCGGAGGAACACCGAUGGCGAAGGCAGCCCCCUGGGCUAACACUGACGCUCAGGCACGAAAGCGUGGGGAGCAAACAGG